This 301-nucleotide ribosomal RNA is filed under the name uncultured bacterium. Its description in RNAcentral is "partial 16S ribosomal RNA". It matches the Rfam family "Bacterial small subunit ribosomal RNA", at positions 509 to 807 of the family's 1533-position model. The record is from RNAcentral.
CAGCCGCCGCGGGAAAACGUAGGUGGCAAGCGUUGUCCGGAAUUAUUGGGCGUAAAGGGCUCGCAGGCGGUUUCUUGAGUCUGAUGUGAAAGCCCCCGGCUCAACCGGGGAGGGUCAUUGGAAACUGGGAAACUUGAGUGCAGAAGAGGAGAGUGGAAUUCCACGUGUAGCGGUGAAAUGCGUAGAGAUGUGGAGGAACACCAGUGGCGAAGGCGACUCUCUGGUCUGUAACUGACACUGAGGAGCGAAAGCGUGGGGAGCGAACAGGAUUAGAUACCCGCGUAGUCCCUGUCUCUUAUAC